This 450-nucleotide ribosomal RNA is filed under the name Salmonella enterica subsp. enterica serovar Chester. Its description in RNAcentral is "bacterial SSU rRNA". It matches the Rfam family "Bacterial small subunit ribosomal RNA", at positions 1 to 447 of the family's 1533-position model. Lineage: Bacteria; Pseudomonadati; Pseudomonadota; Gammaproteobacteria; Enterobacterales; Enterobacteriaceae. The record is from RNAcentral. RNAcentral also lists the same sequence under 1 other name.
AAAUUGAAGAGUUUGAUCAUGGCUCAGAUUGAACGCUGGCGGCAGGCCUAACACAUGCAAGUCGAACGGUAACAGGAAGCAGCUUGCUGCUUUGCUGACGAGUGGCGGACGGGUGAGUAAUGUCUGGGAAACUGCCUGAUGGAGGGGGAUAACUACUGGAAACGGUGGCUAAUACCGCAUAAUGUCGCAAGACCAAAGAGGGGGACCUUCGGGCCUCUUGCCAUCAGAUGUGCCCAGAUGGGAUUAGCUUGUUGGUGAGGUAACGGCUCACCAAGGCGACGAUCCCUAGCUGGUCUGAGAGGAUGACCAGCCACACUGGAACUGAGACACGGUCCAGACUCCUACGGGAGGCAGCAGUGGGGAAUAUUGCACAAUGGGCGCAAGCCUGAUGCAGCCAUGCCGCGUGUAUGAAGAAGGCCUUCGGGUUGUAAAGUACUUUCAGCGGGGAGG